This 259-nucleotide ribosomal RNA is filed under the name uncultured bacterium. RNAcentral's name for it is "partial 16S ribosomal RNA". It matches the Rfam family "Bacterial small subunit ribosomal RNA", at positions 524 to 783 of the family's 1533-position model. The record is from RNAcentral.
UACGUAGGGGGCAAGCGUUGUCCGGAAUUAUUGGGCGUAAAGAGCGUGUAGGCGGUCCGGUAAGUCCGCUGUGAAAGUCCAGGGCUCAACCCUGGAAUGCCGGUGGAUACUGCCGGGCUAGAGUCCGGAAGAGGCGAGUGGAAUUCCUGGUGUAGCGGUGAAAUGCGCAGAUAUCAGGAGGAACACCGAUUGCGAAGGCAGCUCGCUGGGACGGUACUGACGCUGAGACGCGAAGCGUGGGGAGCGAACAGGAUUAGAU